The sequence is a transfer RNA, 106 nucleotides long. It matches the Rfam family "tRNA". Rfam says of the family: Transfer RNA (tRNA) molecules are approximately 80 nucleotides in length. Their secondary structure includes four short double-helical elements and three loops (D, anti-codon, and T loops). The record is from Rfam.
GUCUCCGUGGUGUAGUGGUUAUCACGUAGGUCUCAUAUCCAGUAUGACAGUGGGGGCAAACCCCACCGAUAUCCUAAGGUCGGGAGUUCGAUACUCUCCGGGGACA